GGGAGUUCUGCUCAGAUGGCGGAUGGGCACCAGUCUGUAAAACUGGCACUUUGAUACUCAAUAGGUUCGAAUCCUAUAGCUCCCA
RNAcentral lists this transfer RNA (85 nucleotides) under Crassvirales sp. RNAcentral describes it as "tRNA-Tyr". It matches the Rfam family "tRNA". Rfam says of the family: Transfer RNA (tRNA) molecules are approximately 80 nucleotides in length. Their secondary structure includes four short double-helical elements and three loops (D, anti-codon, and T loops). Further hydrogen bonds mediate the characteristic L-shaped molecular structure. tRNAs have two regions of fundamental functional importance: the anti-codon, which is responsible for specific mRNA codon recognition, and the 3' end, to which the tRNAs corresponding amino acid is attached (by aminoacyl-tRNA synthetases). tRNAs cope with the degeneracy of the genetic code in two manners: having more than one tRNA (with a specific anti-codon) for a particular amino acid; and 'wobble' base-pairing, i.e. permitting non-standard base-pairing at the 3rd anti-codon position. Lineage: Duplodnaviria; Heunggongvirae; Uroviricota; Caudoviricetes; Crassvirales. The record is from RNAcentral.